GACGAACGCUGGCGGCGUGCUUAACACAUGCAAGUCGAACGGAAAGGCCCUGCUUUUGUGGGGUGCUCGAGUGGCGAACGGGUGAGUAACACGUGAGUAACCUGCCCUUGACUUUGGGAUAACUUCAGGAAACUGGGGCUAAUACCGGAUAGGAGCUCCUGCUGCAUGGUGGGGGUUGGAAAGUUUCGGCGGUUGGGGAUGGACUCGCGGCUUAUCAGCUUGUUGGUGGGGUAGUGGCUUACCAAGGCUUUGACGGGUAGCCGGCCUGAGAGGGUGACCGGCCACAUUGGGACUGAGAUACGGCCCAGGCUCCUACGGGAGGCAGCAGUGGGGAAUAUUGCACAAUGGGCGGAAGCCUGAUGCAGCAACGCCGCGUGCGGGAUGACGGCCUUCGGGUUGUAAACCGCUUUCGCCUGUGACGAAGCGUGAGUGACGGUAAUGGGUAAAGAAGCACCGGCUAACUACGUGCCAGCAGCCGCGGUGAUACGUAGGGUGCGAGCGUUGUCCGGAUUUAUUGGGCGUAAAGGGCUCGUAGGUGGUUGAUCGCGUCGGAAGUGUAAUCUUGGGGCUUAACCCUGAGCGUGCUUUCGAUACGGGUUGACUUGAGGAAGGUAGGGGAGAAUGGAAUUCCUGGUGGAGCGGUGGAAUGCGCAGAUAUCAGGAGGAACACCAGUGGCGAAGGCGGUUCUCUGGGCCUUUCCUGACGCUGAGGAGCGAAAGCGUGGGGAGCGAACAGGCUUAGAUACCCUGGUAGUCCACGCUGUAAACGGUGGGUACUAGGUGUGGGGUCCAUUCCACGGGUUCCGUGCCGUAGCUAACGCUUUAAGUACCCCGCCUGGGGAGUACGGCCGCAAGGCUAAAACUCAAAGGAAUUGACGGGGCCCCGCACAAGCGGCGGAGCAUGCGGAUUAAUUCGAUGCAACGCGUAGAACCUUACCUGGGUUUGACAUGGAUCGGGAGCGCUCAGAGAUGGGUGUGCCUCUUUUGGGGUCGGUUCACAGGUGGUGCAUGGCUGUCGUCAGCUCGUGUCGUGAGAUGUUGGGUUAAGUCCCGCAACGAGCGCAACCCUUGUUCACUGUUGCCAGCACGUUAUGGUGGGGACUCAGUGGAGACCGCCGGGGUCAACUCGGAGGAAGGUGGGGAUGACGUCAAGUCAUCAUGCCCCUUAUGUCCAGGGCUUCACGCAUGCUACAAUGGCUGGUACAGAGAGUGGCGAGCCUGUGAGGGUGAGCGAAUCUCGGAAAGCCGGUCUCAGUUCGGAUUGGGGUCUGCAACUCGACCUCAUGAAGUCGGAGUCGCUAGUAAUCGCAGAUCAGCAACGCUGCGGUGAAUACGUUCCCGGGGCU
RNAcentral lists this ribosomal RNA (1346 nucleotides) under uncultured bacterium. RNAcentral describes it as "bacterial SSU rRNA". It matches the Rfam family "Bacterial small subunit ribosomal RNA", at positions 28 to 1381 of the family's 1533-position model. The record is from RNAcentral.